Molecule: long non-coding RNA, 1972 nt
Organism: Zea mays
Lineage: Eukaryota; Viridiplantae; Streptophyta; Magnoliopsida; Poales; Poaceae
Exons: 8
Source: RefSeq, a predicted model, not a curated record
GCAUACAACACUACUGCAUUUCCUGUACAGCUUGCUGCAUUUCACUUGGUGAUCUGCUCUGCUGUCUGGUGUGCAAGGGAGGCUAGCAGCAAGCGCCGGACAGCGACGAGCUGGGUGGAGGCGCAGGCACUGUCCCUGCGAUGUUGUGGGACUCGGACAGCGAUGAUGAAGUGCGCGUGGUUGACCAUCCUACUGAGCGUCGUGCUGCUACUCAGGCAGAGAAAGGAAAGGCCAUGGGUGUUACAUGCUAUGAUGCGAGAGAAAAUUGGUGGAGAGCUAGUUCGGUGGAACGCAACUAGGUUUGGUACUGUUUUUAUUUUCCUGCAGAGUUUUUGGACAGAAAAGAUAAAUUUAAGUUGUGGUUGGCAUCAGCUGAUUGGGAGAACUGUAAGUGGGCUGGUGAAGAAGAUCAUGACUUCACAUAUGAUUGUUUGACAAAAAAUAAAUGGUGGACUAACAUGGAAAAGGUUUUGAAAGCUGUGUCACCAAUCUACUCUGUACUUCGUUUAGGUGAUCAAUAGAAGAGUGUGUCUAUGUCUUCUUUUCUUCCAAAAAUGAUGAGUGCUAUGGCUAAAAUGCGAGCCAAUUUGGGUGAUGAUCCUAUCAACAAAACCCUGUGUGAUAGAUUAAUGCAAGUAAUCAAUAGAAGACUUGACUAUAUGCUCAAUGAUACUCUUAUGCUUGCAGCUGCUGCCCUUAACCCUGAAGCGCUAUAUACUUCCAAAAUGGCAAGAAAACCAAAGUUCCAACAUGCUGUGACAAUGGCCAUAAAGAAACUUUCAAGCUCAUCUUCAAAGGCUUCAGCUGCAAUUGAUCAAUAUACUUUCUUCAGAAAGCAAGCUGGGUUAUUUGGAGGAGAAGAGGCUAAAGAUUUAGCACUUAAUGGCCGCGCAAGUGCAGCUGAUUGGUGGGAUCAAUAUAGUGGAGACUACCCAGAAUUACAAGAGUUUGCACGUCGUAUUGUUUCUCAAUGCAUGUCCUCUAGUGGUUGCGAAUGUAAUUGGAGUACCUUUGCUUUGGUUCAUACCAAAUUGAGGAAUCGGUUGAGUUAUGAUAAGUUGCAUAAACUGGUUUAUGUUCACUACAACUUGAAGUUGCGCAUUCAACAUUACGAAACUGAUAUGGAAAGUCUUGAACAAAUGAAAAACUCUAAAGAUAGGAACAUAGAUCCAUGUAGCAUCAUGAUAGAUGUUGCUAUGUAUGAUGAAGCCAACCCGAUUAUGGAAUGGUUGUGCAGUUCUAGGAGUGAAUCAGUGCCGACACUUGAUGAAAAUGAUGAGCCUGAAUCCCCUAAUAGACCAAGUGGAUUCGUUUUAGAGGAGUUAGGAGGAUUGAACGAAGAAGAGAUGAUUCUUUUAAAUUCUAGGAUUGGUUCUGGUAGGAAAAAUGUUAGGAAAAGGAAGGUUGUAAAAGAAGAUAUUGGAGAUGAUUUCCUAUCAGAUAGUAGUGAGGGAGGAGGUAGCCCAACCUACAACGAGUCAGGUGACAGUGACUCUAAUGAUGGUGGUGGUGAUGAUGAAGAUGGUGACCCUAGUGGUCCAAGUUCUGCAGCUAGGCCACCAACUCAUGUAGCUACAGACCAAUAUAAUGGUCAUAGUCAAGAUGAACAACCAGCCCCUCUCUGUCCAAGAUCAAAAAGGCAGAAGAAGCUCUCCAUCAAGGGCCUGUACAUGCUUGAGAAGUGAUCUAAUCUUCAAGCACAAGCACAAGAAUAUGGCGUAUGCAUGGACUGAUUCAAUGGCAAGAUUUUGAACAUGUGGCUCUAUUGUAUCAACUGUGUGCUCUGUUUCGGUUUCAGCACAAUAUUGCUGCCAUAUCUGGUUUAUGUGGCCUACCAAUAUUUAGAACUGUGAUUGAUUUCUAUGCAUUAUUUGAACUAUGGACUAUCAAAUAUUUGUGACUCAACACUAGUGUUAUAUUCACUGGUGCAUGGAUGCUACCAAAGAACUUUAUUUAUGUAAUAUUUGGUUUA